AUUCGCAACAUGUAGGGCUGGUAUAAAAAGACCAAAACCUUAUAUAUUUAUAUGAAGAUCAUGAUACCAUGUGUGUAAUUUGUAAACCUAAUUCAAACUAUUAAAGUUUAUUUUGCAUUGAGGGAAAUUGUAUAAUAUUUUUCAAAAAUAAUUGUCCCAUUAUGUGAGGUAAAGCCGUCUAAGUUGUCAACUUUUUGUUGACUACAAAGUUUAAAUAUUGGCCCUUCAUUUAACUUUUCUCAAAAAACGCCAACCGACAGCCAGCACUCCAGCAUUCCAGCACUCGGCAGUCCUCAGCCAAACAUCACGUAGACGCAACCCACAGGAACACCUCAAGAGCCAACACCUACCAAACGAACUGUGCGAGGCAGAGGGAUCGAGAGCCGAAGAGAUCUUUUUU
Molecule: long non-coding RNA, 400 nt
Filed under: Citrus x clementina
Lineage: Eukaryota; Viridiplantae; Streptophyta; Magnoliopsida; Sapindales; Rutaceae
Description: Citrus clementina (C. clementina) long non-coding RNA (CCLE_LNC005769)
Source: RNAcentral